GUUAGGAAUAUUGGGCAAUGGAGGAAACUCUGACCCAGCAACGCCGCGUGAAGGAUGAAGGUUUUCGGAUUGUAAACUUCUGUUCUAUGGGAAAAAACAAAUGAUGGUACCAUAGGAGAAAGCCACGGCUAACUACGUGCCAGCAGCCGCGGUAAUACGUAGGUGGCAAGCGUUGUUCGGAAUGACUGGGCGUAAAGGGAGCGUAGGUUGUUUUUGAAGUUAAAUGUGAAAGCCCGGGGCUUAACACCGGAAUGCCAUUUAAUACUGGAAGACUAGAGUGCAGGAGGGGUGAGAGGAAUUCCUAGUGUAGCGGUGGAAUGCGAAGAUAUUAGGAAGAACACCAGAGGCGAAGGCGGCUCACUGGACUGUUACUGACACUGAGGCUCGAAAGCGUGGGGAGCAAACAGGAUUAGAUACCCGUGUAGUCC
Molecule: ribosomal RNA, 428 nt
Filed under: uncultured bacterium
Lineage: Bacteria
Description: partial 16S ribosomal RNA
Rfam family: Bacterial small subunit ribosomal RNA
Source: RNAcentral